AAAAGGGAACUCGAAGUGUUUACUCUUUCCCAAGCGGAUCUUUACAGGGACUUGUACCCCUUUUCCAAUUGAAUAGCUUCAGAAAACAAGAGAAGCUUUCUGGCCAUGGAGAUGAGAAGUCUGCUAGGAUCCUACUGAUGGCUAAGCUGAAGCAGUUGAUUGAGGCAAAUCCACUCAUCGGUGAUAAGCUUCAGUUUCAUACCUUACAGAUGUCAAGACCAGAAACAGUAGUCAAACUGAGAGCUUAUAUUGGCAGAUUCAGCAAUGCGAUCUGAAGGAUCUAAUCAUAAACUGCCCAAGAAUCUUCUAUAUGAGGACCCUUACUGUGAUCAAGCAACUGACACCAUCCCCUGUACCUCAUGGAGUUGGAGAGGGAAUCAAGGCUUUUCUUUGAUAUCAAGUAUUUCGAAGAAUGUGUGAGCAAUGGAGACUGGGAGGAUUUGGAAAAGUACUUAUUACGGUUCACAAAUGCAUAGGAUAACCCUAUAUCCUUUAGCAUUUUCUUUGAGAUCAGAAUGUAGACUUAUUAUGAAGCACAUGACAAGAGUGAUCGUAAAAUGAUGUUGGACAUUCUUAAAAGGGACCUCGAAGUGUUUACUACAGGAGACUUGUACGCCUUUUCCAAUUGAACAGCGUCAGAAAGCAAGAGAAGCUUUCUGUCCAUAGAGAUAAGAAGUCAGCCAGGAUCCUACUGAUGGCUAAACUAAAGCAGUUGACUGUGGCAAAUCCACUCAUUGGUGACAAGCUUCAGUUCCCUACCUUGCAGAAGCCGAGACUAGAAACACUAGUCAAACUGAGGUGAACAGGUUAAGUUGGCAGAUUCAGCAAUGCGAUAAUGAAGGAUCUAAUCAUAAACUGUACGAGAAUCUUCCAUAUGAGGACCCUUACUGUGAUCAAGCAACUGACACCAUCCCCUGUAGCUCAUGGAGGUUGGAGAGGGAAUCAAGGCUUUUCUUUAAUAUCAAGUAUUUCUAAGAAUGUGUGAGCAAUGGAGACUGGGAGGAGGUGGGGAAGUACUUAUCACGGUUCACAAAUGCAGAGGAUAACCCGGAAUCCUUUAGCAUUUUCUUUGAGAUCAGAAGGCAGAAUUAUUAUGAAGCACAUGACAAAUUAUGGUGAUUCUGUUCAUAGUAUGGAUGAGUUGCAAUUGGUGACUCUGCAUUGGAAGUGAAGCUUCUUAGAAUGCUAUGCCUAGAAGAAUGCCUUUAAUUGCCCCCUAUAAACUGAGGCAAAAUGUGAUACUUGAAUUUGAAACUGAGGCAAGCAAGGUGUUCUGGGGUCAAAAUAAGGCAUUCCGGAUGCAGGG
Coffea arabica (coffee) is the source of this 1306-nucleotide non-coding RNA. The record is from RefSeq and is a predicted model, not a curated record. NCBI's taxonomy places the organism in Eukaryota, Viridiplantae, Streptophyta, Magnoliopsida, Gentianales, Rubiaceae.